GAAUCAGUGCGCUGGUCGUGCCUCUGGUAUGCACUGGUGCUACUGAUUUCUCCCUUCUGAAGAACUAUCAUGCCAUUAAUUUGGUGUGGUAGGGAAUCAGGACUGUUACUUUGAAAAAAUUAGAGUGUUUAAAGCAGGCUCACGCUUGAAUACAUUAGCAUGGAAUAGUGAAAUAGGACGUUGAUCUUAUUUUGUUGGUUUCUAGGAUUGACGUAAUGAUUAAUAGGGAUAGUUGGGGGCAUUAGUAUUCAAUUGUCAGAGGUGAAAUUCUUGGAUUUAUUGAAGACUAACUACUGCGAAAGCAUUUGCCAAGGAUGUUUUCAUUAAUCAAGAACGAAAGUUAGGGGAUCGAAGACGAUCAGAUACCGUCGUAGUCUUAACCAUAAACUAUGCCGACUAGGAAUCAGACGAUGUUAAUUUUUUAAUGACUCGUUUGGCACCUUACGGGAAACCAAAGUGUUUGGGUUCCGGGGGGAGUAUGGUCGCAAGGCUGAAACUUAAAGGAAUUGACGGAAGGGCACCACCAGGGGUGGAGCCUGCGGCUUAAUUUGACUCAACACGGGAAAACUUACCAGGUCCAGACAUAGUAAGGAUUGACAGAUUGAGAGC
This 609-nucleotide ribosomal RNA is filed under the name Glomus sp. MS. Its description in RNAcentral is "SSU rRNA". It matches the Rfam family "Eukaryotic small subunit ribosomal RNA", at positions 647 to 1255 of the family's 1831-position model. The record is from RNAcentral. Lineage: Eukaryota; Fungi; Glomeromycota; Glomeromycetes; Glomerales; Glomeraceae.